CUUCAUAGUCUUGCUACAUGUUCCUUCCUUUCUGCAGUUACGUUCAAUAAAAAGAUGCUCUCUCUGUCCGUUGUUUUUUGGUCAGAGCUGAAGAACAGAUUUUGGAAAGAAAGCUGUGUGGGCCUCAUGGUUUCAGUCCAUCCUGAAGGUUGAUUGAAUGAGAAGAAGGAGGCUUGUGAAAUUCCAAUCCUGGGCCUUUCUCCCUUUGGACAGCCAGGAAGUCUAAGAAUACGCACUAAGUUUUCCCAACAAAGACCUUGGGAGCUGCUCCCGGCUCCUCAGGCAGGCCUUGUGGACAAGUGCCAUCUGCGUCCCGGUGCCAGGGCUUCUUGUGAGCCUCUCACAUGCAGGCAUGGAGGAGAUGACAGCAGAGUUGACAGCCUGGUGCUCCUGAGCCUGGGAUCCAGUUUGGGAGACAGACUGGACCUUCAGUUGGCGGGGAGCUAUGAUGUGUCCAGCCCCAGAAUUUGAAUGAUGAUUUGUUUAUCUAGUCGUAUCAGGCUCUACUUUCUUUGUCUGUGCUUAGUCAAGAGGAGAACAUGUAGGCUGGAGAAGGUAAGAAUUAAU
RNAcentral lists this long non-coding RNA (567 nucleotides) under Capra hircus (goat). Its description in RNAcentral is "lncRNA (ENSCHIG00000004759.1)". The record is from RNAcentral. Lineage: Eukaryota; Metazoa; Chordata; Mammalia; Artiodactyla; Bovidae.